UCUAAUAUGGCAGAUAAGUGUAGUAGAUUUAAGAUCUACUUAUAAAGUAAUUGUAACCUUUUAUUAGAA
Molecule: transfer RNA, 69 nt
Filed under: Schultesia lampyridiformis
Lineage: Eukaryota; Metazoa; Arthropoda; Insecta; Blattodea; Blaberidae
Description: tRNA-Leu
Source: RNAcentral